Molecule: unclassified non-coding RNA, 253 nt
Filed under: uncultured Alphaproteobacteria bacterium
Lineage: Bacteria; Pseudomonadati; Pseudomonadota; Alphaproteobacteria
Description: contains 16S-23S intergenic spacer region
Rfam family: Bacterial small subunit ribosomal RNA
Source: RNAcentral
UACGAGGGGGGCGAGCGUUGUUCGGAAUUACUGGGCGUAAAGCGCACGUAGGCGGAUUCUUAAGUCAGGGGUGAAAUCCCGAGGCUCAACCUCGGAACUGCCUUUGAUACUGGGGAUCUUGAGUUCGGGAGAGGUGAGUGGAACUGCGAGUGUAGAGGUGAAAUUCGUAGAUAUUCGCAAGAACACCAGUGGCGAAGGCGGCUCACUGACCCGAUACUGACGCUGAUGCACGAAAGCUAGGGGAGCAAACAGG